Long non-coding RNA from Thamnophis elegans (Western terrestrial garter snake), 1170 nucleotides. RefSeq lists it as uncharacterized. The transcript is spliced from 4 exons. Lineage: Eukaryota; Metazoa; Chordata; Lepidosauria; Squamata; Natricidae. The record is from RefSeq and is a predicted model, not a curated record.
GGUAUUUUUUUUUUUACAGGGGCAGCUUGUCCGGGGUUUCACAUGUUGAUUCUAGAAUGUGUGUGUGUGAGCCAGCUUUGCUGUGAUUCUGGGAAUUAAAGUCCACAAGUCUUCAAGUGGCCAAGGUUGGAGACCCAUGCCUAGGAGACCUAAUUUAAUCAACUCUUGUGUUUGCAGACCUUAUCCUUUGAUAUGUGGAUUAGGGUUAGGUCUGGGUAACUCACUUGAGGAAGUUGGCUAAUUUUAGUUGCUUAACUUAGUUUUAGCUUGACUGUUAAUUAUCUAGCAGGUACACUGAUUCUCAGGCCAUUCCGUUCAUAUUUUAAGGGGAAGAUGGAAACAGUAUAAAGAAUAAAAUAUAUUUGGAUAUACAAGGAAAGAGAAAGAAACGCCUAAAGAAGCCAUUUCCAGUCUUCUUUUGCAGCCUACACUCUUUAACUCCUAACUAUACCCACUCUCCCAAACUACAGGUCGUGGUUCCCAUAAACACCCCUCGCUCAUCAAUCUAAAAUGAGACUUUUGGAGCUUCGAAAGCUGGAUGGGAUAACAAUUGCAGGGAAGCAUGGCAUGACCAAAUGAAGCUGCCAAAGACCGACACCCCCCCCCCCCCACAGAGCUUGGAUUGCAGAUGCCAUCUUUGGGAGUGAAGCCAUCCAGCUGGGCUGUCAAACAUCAUCUGACCUAAGACAGGCUUGCCUCUUUUUCAGACUCGUCCAUUUUUCCCCCCAGCAAAUUAUGGUCACCAUAGCCUAGCGCAGAAAGAGCCAAAAACGGACGGUUUUAAAACCCUAAAAUUCCUAAGUUUAUGAAUGGUGAUGAAAUGUCCUCUCAAAAAUCUGGAGCUCAAAAACGCAAGGAAAAACAGAAAUGUGAUGAGAUUAAUAAAAAGGGUGACAAAUGCUUUUUUCAAUUUGGGGUUAAAAUGCGAAACAAAUGAAACUAACCCAAAUGAAACCUUUAAUUCAGAACAAUGUGAGGCAAGUGCAGAACUGAAAGCAAGAUCGGAAUCUCAUGAGGGCCGUUCGGAUUUUCAAGAAACAUCAGAUAAGUACAUUCUCAAUUUAAAGAUUUAGAGGAAAAAAGGUUGCUAAAUGAACCCAUUUUUAGGAUCAACAUAACACUUCAAACCAAACAUGAGCAGCACCCUAACCCUAAACCAGACCCUCUCCC